CGGGGUUCUUUUAAAAUGCAAGUCGACGAUGAUCCGGUGCUUGCACCGGGGAUUAGUGGCGAACGGGUGAGUAACACGUGAGUAACCUGCCCUUGACUCUGGGAUAAGCCUGGGAAACUGGGUCUAAUACCGGAUAUGACUCCUCAUCGCAUGGUGGGGGGUGGAAAGCUUUUGCGGUUUUGGAUGGACUCGCGGCCUAUCAGCUUGUUGGUGAGGUAAUGGCUUACCAAGGCGACGACGGGUAGCCGGCCUGAGAGGGUGACCGGCCACACUGGGACUGAGACACGGCCCAGACUCCUACGGGAGGCAGCAGUGGGGAAUAUUGCACAAUGGGCGCAAGCCUGAUGCAGCGACGCCGCGUGAGGGAUGACGGCCUUCGGGUUGUAAACCUCUUUCAGUAGGGAAGAAGCGAAAGUGACGGUACCUGCAGAAGAAGCGCCGGCUAACUACGUGCCAGCAGCCGCGGUAAUAAUCGGAUCC
This 480-nucleotide ribosomal RNA is filed under the name uncultured Arthrobacter sp. RNAcentral's name for it is "bacterial SSU rRNA". It matches the Rfam family "Bacterial small subunit ribosomal RNA", at positions 40 to 535 of the family's 1533-position model. Lineage: Bacteria; Bacillati; Actinomycetota; Actinomycetes; Micrococcales; Micrococcaceae. The record is from RNAcentral.